RNAcentral lists this ribosomal RNA (356 nucleotides) under Culex quinquefasciatus (southern house mosquito). Its description in RNAcentral is "bacterial SSU rRNA". It matches the Rfam family "Bacterial small subunit ribosomal RNA", at positions 230 to 577 of the family's 1533-position model. The record is from RNAcentral. Lineage: Eukaryota; Metazoa; Arthropoda; Insecta; Diptera; Culicidae.
CCUAAAUCAGAUUAGCUAGUUGGUGGGGUAAAGGCCUACCAAGGCGACGAUCUGUAGCGGGUCUGAGAGGAUGAUCCGCCACACUGGGACUGAGACACGGCCCAGACUCCUACGGGAGGCAGCAGUGGGGAAUAUUGGACAAUGGGCGAAAGCCUGAUCCAGCCAUGCCGCGUGUGUGAAGAAGGCCUUUUGGUUGUAAAGCACUUUAAGCGAGAAGGAGGCUACUGAAAUUAAUACUCUUGGAUAGUGGACGUUACUCACAGAAUAAGCACCGGCUAACUCUGUGCCAGCAGCCGCGGUAAUACAGAGGGCGCGAGCGUUAAUCAGAUUUACUGGGGCUAAAGCGCGCGUAGCCG